GCCAGGUGCGGUAGUGCAUGCCUGUAGUCCCAGCUGCUUGAGAGGCUGAGGCAGGAGGAUCACUUGAGCCCAGGAGGUCAAGGCUGCAGUGAGCUGUGAUUGCACCACUGCACUCUAGCCUGGGCGACAGAGUGAGACCCUGUCUCAA
Molecule: signal recognition particle RNA, 148 nt
Filed under: Pan troglodytes (chimpanzee)
Lineage: Eukaryota; Metazoa; Chordata; Mammalia; Primates; Hominidae
Description: Metazoan signal recognition particle RNA
Rfam family: Metazoan signal recognition particle RNA
About the family: The signal recognition particle (SRP) is a universally conserved ribonucleoprotein. It is involved in the co-translational targeting of proteins to membranes. The eukaryotic SRP consists of a 300-nucleotide 7S RNA and six proteins: SRPs 72, 68, 54, 19, 14, and 9.
Source: Rfam by way of RNAcentral